UCACUUUAGUAUUUGUCAUGUGUC
RNAcentral lists this non-coding RNA (24 nucleotides) under Arabidopsis thaliana (thale cress). Lineage: Eukaryota; Viridiplantae; Streptophyta; Magnoliopsida; Brassicales; Brassicaceae. The record is from RNAcentral.